GAUGAACGCUGACAGAAUGCUUAACACAUGCCAGUCAUUGGCGAAGCUGCGCUUGCGCAGUCUAGCCAAGGCGGACGGGUGAGUAACGCGUAAGGAACUUGCCCUGCAGACAGGGAUAACAGACGGAAACGACUGAUAACACCUGGUAUUGUCAGGCUGGCGCAUGCCGGCCUGAUGAAAGGAGACACUGCAGGAGAGCCUUGCGUCCUAUUAGCUAGUUGGUGGGGUAACGGCCCACCAAGGCGAUGAUAGGUAGCCGGCCUGAGAGGGUGAACGGCCACAAGGGGACUGAGAUACGGCCCUUACUCCUACGGGAGGCAGCAGUGGGGAAUAUUGGACAAUGGGGGCAACCCUGAUCCAGCAAUUCUGUGUGCACGAAGAAGGUUUUCGGAUUGUAAAGUGCUUUCAGCAGGGAAGAAGAAAGUGACGGUACCUGCAGAAGAAGCGACGGCUAAAUACGUG
RNAcentral lists this ribosomal RNA (462 nucleotides) under uncultured bacterium. RNAcentral's name for it is "partial 16S ribosomal RNA". It matches the Rfam family "Bacterial small subunit ribosomal RNA", at positions 28 to 507 of the family's 1533-position model. The record is from RNAcentral.